CCUCAAACUCCACUUUGAGUGGAGCUUGGUAGCACUUCCACACUUGUGAAGUUUGUGAGUUACAUAAAAAAUUAAAUUCCUAGCCAGGUCUUCCUAUUGGGUGAGGAGGCCCUUCCAAAGUUCCAGCGAAUUCCUUAGUCUGACACAACUUUUCUCAAUUCAGAAAUAUGCGUUUGGUAACAUAUAUUAAAAGCCAGAAAUAUGAAAAUGCAUAAACAAUAGAAUUGGACAUAAUUAUGUGAUAAAGUGAAAUGCUCCUGCAGUUAGUUAUUGAACAUGAAGGACCUCUCUAAUUCUUCAGAGAAACUGUGAGAUAAUCUCUACCACUUAUGCUUAGCAAGGAGCCAUGCUGCAGAAGAAAAGCAGAGGAAAAGUAGAAAUACACACGAGUGACAAAAGCAAAAAAAUACAUAUAUGAAAAACUCUGAAACCACCCUCGAUGAAAAGUAAUAUGUCUGUAUUUAAAGAGUAGGUAAAUCAUAUAGUGAAUUUAGAAGGUAAAAAACGAGGUCUAUAAUUACGUGAGUAUAUAGAAAAUGUUAAGUAUUUUCGUGAAAAGGUAUAUAAACAAUAAUGAAUAAUCAUUUCAUAUUGAAAAUAAUUUAAUUUUGAAAGGAGAUAGUACAGAUACAAAAAAAAAAGUCGAAGUAAGGAAAUAGCAGAAAUUUCAAAUAUUUCAGGAAUGUCUUUCUCCAGAGUAGCAUGUUGUUUAGAAACUAAAUUUCCACAGUAGAUUUCAUAGCUCCUGAACAUGAAUUAAAACCUUGAUAUUAGCUGCAGAAAUGUACAUUAGUUUGUGGGGAGGGGAGAAAGAAAAUAAUUUGCCAACCUCCCAACCAUUUCCCCAACAGAUUUUUGCAUCUUGGUCAUUACACUUACUUUCAAGAUUCUUUUCUUGGUUUAAACAUGUAAUCUUGUCUCUUUGCUCACUUGCUCACUCUUCAAGCAAGCCUACAGCCAAAUAAAUUGCCAUACAUGUUUACCAAUAAACCAUUAUUUUCCAAGGAA
This 1008-nucleotide long non-coding RNA is filed under the name Pongo abelii (Sumatran orangutan). RNAcentral's name for it is "lincRNA". The record is from RNAcentral. Lineage: Eukaryota; Metazoa; Chordata; Mammalia; Primates; Hominidae.